GAUCAUGGCUCAGGAUGAACGCUGGCGGCGUGCUUAACACAUGCAAAGUCGAACGGAGCUUAGAAGGAAGCUUGCUUUCAUUUAAGCUUAGUGGCGGACGGGUGAGUAACGCGUGAGCAACCUGCCCUCGAGUGGGGAAUAACAUCGAGGAAUCGGUGCUAAUACCGCAUAAUGUCGAGAGACCGCAUGAUCUUUCGACCAAAGGAUUUAUUCGCUUGAGGAUGGGCUCGCGUCCGAUUAGCUAGUUGGUGAGGUAACGGCCCACCAAGGCUUCGAUCGGUAGCCGAACUGAGAGGUUGAUCGGCCACAUUGGGACUGAGACACGGCCCAGACUCCUACGGGAGGCAGCAGUGGGGAAUAUUGGGCAAUGGGCGAAAGCCUGACCCAGCAACGCCGCGUGAAGGAUGAAGGUCUUCGGAUUGUAAACUUCUUUGAUUGGGGAAGAAUAAAUGACCUACCCAAAGAACAAGCCACGGCUAACUACGUGCCAGCAGCAGC
This 498-nucleotide ribosomal RNA is filed under the name uncultured bacterium. RNAcentral describes it as "bacterial SSU rRNA". It matches the Rfam family "Bacterial small subunit ribosomal RNA", at positions 15 to 518 of the family's 1533-position model. The record is from RNAcentral.